GAGAAGAUGGAUUGACAAGAGAAGAACUUCUAGCUAUUAGAAUUCAACAAUUAGAGCAAAGAUUGGAAGAUGUACAAAUAGCAUUAGAAAGAUUAAAAAGGUCAAGGGUACAAAACAAGGCACAAUUUGAUAAGCAGUGUCGAUUGAGGCUUAAAGCAAUUGAAGAAGGUGAUUGGAUUUUGAUCUAUAAUAGUAGCUUGGAUAAUCAAUAUAGUACUUUAAGGAAGUUUUCUAAGCAAUGGUUUGGACCGUUGUUAUAAUACAUGAAAUCUUGCUUGAGAAUGCUCCGAGCACCUGGCUAUGGAAGGAAGAAUGGAAAUUGCAAUAAUAAAAUCUUAAUUCCAAUAGAAUACUAACAAUAUUCUAAUUAGACCAUAAUAAUGCUAAGCAAGCUUAAUCAAAUUCAAAAAAACCUCAAAGAAAUUUCAAAUAAACAAUAAGAAUUCUUAAAGAAAUAUUAGAAGAAUUACAAAUAUCACUCAAAUACAUCUCAAUUAAAUCUUAAUUUAAUUCUAGUUAAAAUCCUAUUGAACUUUAUUCAAAUUUUAGGCCAAAACUAAUUGAAUCUUAAAUCCUAAUAAAAUCAUAAAUCCUAAAUGAAACCUAAACAAACCUUAAACCAAAUCCCGACUAAAUCCUCAACCAAAUCCUAACCAAAUCCUAAUCCAAAUUCUAAACCCUAAAUCCUAAACCAAACCCUAACCAAACCUUAAUCCAAAAUCUAAAUCCUAAAUCAAAUCCUAAUC
RNAcentral lists this long non-coding RNA (746 nucleotides) under Physcomitrium patens. RNAcentral describes it as "long non-coding RNA (PPAT_LNC011409)". Lineage: Eukaryota; Viridiplantae; Streptophyta; Bryopsida; Funariales; Funariaceae. The record is from RNAcentral.